AACAGUAGAAUUUGGGAGAUAAUAGCAGUAACCCAGGCAGAAAAGAUGAUGGUGGUUCAGACCAGGUGCUAGGUAUAGAGCACUCAAGAAGAGACCCAAUUCUGAACAUGGAGUAUGACAAAAUGUGGAGGGUGGCAGUCUGGAGAUCUGAAUAAAGACCUAGGUUUGAGAUACAAAUUUGGAAGCUCUAUAUUUUCAUUCAACUUGAUUAAAUAUUUAUUGAGCAUCCUACCAUUUGCUGAGAACCCACCUAGACAUUUUAGAUACAAAUUGUAAGAAUAUAUAGUACCUCCCUCAGAGGCCUCAUAAUUAAUGUGAACAGUAGACAUAUUAAUAAAAACUGAAAUACUUAAUAAAAGUAGGUAUAAAGACCUAUGAGGACACAGAUGUAGGGAUAGUUAAUUAAUUCUACCUUUGGGAAAAGUCAGGCAUGGAACAACUGAGUUGGAAUUUGAAGGUUAAGGAGAAUCUCCCUAUCCGGUCAAAGUAGAAUAUUUCAGGCAGACAGGAAGGCUUGGUAAGUACAACUUCAUGUUUCAUAAGUUAAAGGUACUGUCAUGCCUUAACUUGCAGCAAAUGAGUUAAUUCAGUACCUGAUAUAUUUCCCCUCAUAAUCUAGAAAAUAUAAAGAGGCAAAUACUACGACAGACCUAAUACGAUCAUAUAUGAGAUCAGAGGAUCUUUAUUCACGGAGCUUAAAGAGGACUGCCUUUCAUGUAAGCUGCAAUUUUAUGUCCGAUUCCAUAACUUUUUAUAUUAACCCAUGUUUUUAGUGCAUGAUGACCUGUCUCUCAAAGAUGGAGCAGUCAGUUCCCCUGCCUCACAGAAUGAAGGCUCCAGAUGAACCCAGAGGAAGAAAGAAGGAGGAGCCGCGCAGCCCAGAUGAGAGUGACACGCACCAACUCCAACUCCUCGCCGGGGAACGCUUCAUCCCAGCUCCGCGGAAUGCCCGGC
This 954-nucleotide long non-coding RNA is filed under the name Capra hircus (goat). RNAcentral's name for it is "lncRNA (ENSCHIG00010011066.1)". The record is from RNAcentral. Lineage: Eukaryota; Metazoa; Chordata; Mammalia; Artiodactyla; Bovidae.